Molecule: long non-coding RNA, 953 nt
Filed under: Cercocebus atys (sooty mangabey)
Lineage: Eukaryota; Metazoa; Chordata; Mammalia; Primates; Cercopithecidae
Description: lncRNA (ENSCATG00000045666.1)
Source: RNAcentral
ACUAACCCCAAAGCACACAUGUAUGGGGUGUGGGAUUCUGAUGAGUGCAGCUAUCGUCAGUUACCUUGCAGGACAACUGUGACUCACUGAAAUGUGUAAUUUUAAACAGAAGUGGUCCUGUAGAGAUUGUCAUCUUGUUGGCAGGAGAAUGGCACCUUACCAAGUAAGAAUGAGGACUGCAAGAGGAGGGGGCACAAGAAGCCUGAGAGGAAGAAAAGCAGUGAGACACCUUCAGUCUUCCAGCCAGUGCCUGGCACAAGGAGCUUACGAAUCCUCAGAACAGAAGAAACAGAGACGAUUGCUGCCUUCAUUUUAGAGACAAAGAGGUGAGGAGAGCCAGGUGAGUAAGCAAAGGAUCCAGACUGCUACUUGAUAAUUUAUUUGCUCCUAAUCCUCAUGCUGUGUGGCCCAGGUGGGUCCCACUGUCUUGGGCAUCUCCGUUGUGUGGCUGUAUCCUCUGCCCUGCAAGGUCCCCUUUUAUGUUCUGUGCAGAAGGGGCCCCAGGGAGGGUGGCCCUCUGACCUCCUGUUUUAUGGUGGCUCUGACUCUAGUGUCUAGCUCAGGAGACUUUACCUCUUCUGGAACGCACCCCUCAUCCUCUUCACUGAUCCCGUCUUCAUUCUCGGUUAAGUUCUCACUCAUCCUAUGGUUUUAGGUGUACAGUCAGUUAUGUGGGCAUGGUUGACAUGACAUGAACUGAAAUGUCACCCAAGUGUGGCUAGCUCUAAUCCUUGCCUCUACUCUUGAUUCUUAUUAGAAAAUUGCUUUUGACAUACAUGUUUUAAAGGUUGCAGAAGUGGCCAAGUGUGAGUGGGUGGGGUGGGAGUGUGGGGCAGAGCCUCUCAUCUCAGAGCGUUGCCCUUUUGUGGGAAUCACAGUCAUCAGCAGUAGCUUGGGUAGGAGAGUGACAAGAAGAAAGGCCUUGCCUAAGGAUUACUUGGAAUAUAAAAGGU